Molecule: long non-coding RNA, 631 nt
Organism: Olea europaea var. sylvestris
Lineage: Eukaryota; Viridiplantae; Streptophyta; Magnoliopsida; Lamiales; Oleaceae
Exons: 2
Source: RefSeq, a predicted model, not a curated record
UUCCAUUUAAUUGUAAAACACGUUUAUUCCUCAUUCCCAAUUCUUUAGAAGCCCUAGCAGUCCCGGUGAACCCAUCUCUUCUCCUCCAACAAGCCGAUUUCUCUCAAAAUCAAGAAACUAUCUCUAAAUCGAAAUCAAAAAAAGGAAUAACCUUUAAACUGUGACCUUGUUUCUUCUCCUAACUAUUUUGAUCGAUUUCUGGCAAGCAAAGAAGGAACCGAGAUCACUCGAAAUCGCCUAUGCAUUUAUUUUCUUCUACGGCUUUUUUUAAUUGAAGAUGAAAGAGUCAAGGAGAGGAUAAAUGCCUGCAGGAAAAGAAUUGCACAAAUUAAUACUAAGUGAUCUAUUUUAUCACAUGCAAGGAGAUGCAGUCUGUAGAAGAAUCAACAGUUAAAGCUUCUUACUGCUCAUCAAGAAAUGAAAUUUGAUCGUAGAUAGGAAAUUGAUGGAAAAGUGAAUAGGAUGCUGUGGUUUUUUGAUUAUGUAGUUGGUAGGUUGUAGGAAUGUUUUUGGUGUUCUAUCUAAGCUCAAUGGUUGUAAUAUAGGUGUAUUAGUAUUGAUGGUUGUGAAAUCAUCAAAGGAAACCUGAUGUAUUUUACAAUUUCAAAUGAAAUGGGUUCUUUUGUGUUCA